RNAcentral lists this ribosomal RNA (1461 nucleotides) under Streptomyces sp. RNAcentral's name for it is "bacterial SSU rRNA". It matches the Rfam family "Bacterial small subunit ribosomal RNA". The record is from RNAcentral. Lineage: Bacteria; Bacillati; Actinomycetota; Actinomycetes; Kitasatosporales; Streptomycetaceae.
GUGGGGCGGUGGGCAGGGGGGUGCUUACCGUGCAGUCGAACGAUGAACCGGUUUCGGCCGGGGAUUAGUGGCGAACGGGUGAGUAACACGUGGGCAAUCUGCCCUGCACUCUGGGAUAAGCCCGGGAAACUGGGUCUAAUACCGGAUACGACACUCCGAGGCAUCUUGGGGUGUGGAAAGUUCCGGCGGGGCAGGAUGAGCCCGCGGCCUAUCAGCUUGUUGGUGGGGUAAUGGCCUACCAAGGCGACGACGGGUAGCCGGCCUGAGAGGGUGACCGGCCACACUGGGACUGAGACACGGCCCAGACUCCUACGGGAGGCAGCAGUGGGGAAUAUUGCACAAUGGGCGAAAGCCUGAUGCAGCGACGCCGCGUGAGGGAUGACGGCCUUCGGGUUGUAAACCUCUUUCAGCAGGGAAGAAGCGAAAGUGACGGUACCUGCAGAAGAAGCACCGGCUAACUACGUGCCAGCAGCCGCGGUAAUACGUAGGGUGCGAGCGUUGUCCGGAAUUAUUGGGCGUAAAGAGCUCGUAGGCGGUUUGUCGCGUCGAUUGUGAAAGCCCGGGGCUUAACCCUGGGUCUGCAGUCGAUACGGGCAGGGCUAGAGUUCGGCAGGGGAGACUGGAAAUUCGUGGGUGUAGCGGUGAAAUGCGCAGAUAUCAGGAGGGAACACCGGUGGGCGAAGGAGGGGUCUCUGGGCCCGAUACUGACGCUGAGGGAGCGAAAAGCGUGGGGAGCGAACAGGAUUAGAUACCCCUGGUAGUCCACGCCGUAAAACGGUGGGCACUAGGUGUGGGCAACAUUCCACGUUGUCCGUGCCGCAGCUAACGCAUUCAAGUGCCCCCGCCUGGGGAGUACGGCCGCAAGGCUAAAAACUCAAAGGAAUUGACGGGGGCCCGCACCAGCGGCGGAGCAUGUGGCUUAAUUCGACGCAACGCGAAGAACCUUACCAAGGCUUGACAUACAUCGGAAACGGCCAGAGAUGGUCGCCCCCUUGUGGUCGGUGUACAGGUGGUGCAUGGCUGUCGUCAGCUCGUGUCGUGAGAUGUUGGGUUAAGUCCCGCAACGAGCGCAACCCUUGUCCUGUGUUCCCAGCAACCUCUUCGGAGGGUUGGGGACUCACGGGAGACUGCCGGGGUCAACUCGGAGGAAGGUGGGGACGACGUCAAGUCAUCAUGCCCCUUAUGUCUUGGGCUGCACACGUGCUACAAUGGCCGGUACAAUGAGCUGCGAUGCCGUGAGGUGGAGCGAAUCUCAAAAAGCCGGUCUCAGUUCGGAUUGGGGUCUGCAACUCGACCCCAUGAAGUCGGAGUCGCUAGUAAUCGCAGAUCAGCAUUGCUGCGGGGAAUACGUCCCCGGGCCUUGUACACACCGCCCCUCACGUCAUGAAAGUCGGUAACACCCGAAGCCGGGUCCUAACCCCUUGUGGAGGAGCCGUCGAAGGGGCCCUAGGCCGGCCCCCA